CGGAACAGUCAGUGGGAAGUUGCACACAGAAUAAGAAAAUUCUUGCAGGAAAUUUGAGUGUUAGGAAUUAGAGCUACUUAAGGAUUUAAAGCUGAAGUGGGAUGCCUAAAUCUAAUACUGUGAUGCUGAAUGCAGCCCUUGCCAGACUUUCAAUGUGUACGAACUCCAAAGGUUUAAAGCUCUCCAGAUGUUUACAGUCAUUUUGAUCUCUGGGUCUCAAAAGUGCUCCCACCCCAUCCAGGCUGAGCUGUUCAGGAAUGUCAUGUGAAUCUGAAGCUCUUUGGGAUCCAGAAAUUUAGCAUUUCUUUCCCCAGUUCCUUGCACAGCUCAGCCUGGUAGGCUUGCACUAAGAAUACCUCAGACAAAAGGGGAGCAGCUUAGACCACCUUGAGCUCCUACAAGCGCUUCCUGGAGGCUGCAUCCACACAUGGGCCACAGCAAGGGAAGCCCAGGGCCUGAUGUUUCACCAUCUGUGGGUUCUGUGCCAGCUCUUGAGAUCAAAGUCUUGGCACAUUGCAUACUUUCACGUGGAUGUUAAAAAGCCCUCAGGACUCAAAUCAUGGGAGUCAUUUCCUGAAGCUGAGUUCAUUUAAAUGAACCAUUCCAUCAGACACUGACAUCCUCUCUACAAUCUCUUAGAUUGAUCCAAAUUCCCAACUUUGUUUCCAGAAAUCUGGGGCUUUUCCUGCAUAGGUGAAGAAGAAGCCACCAUCAUGGCAGGCAAGGCAAGAACAGGGAUGAAUGCCUGACCAUAAUAUGCACACAGGAACUUACUCUGCCAAGCACAGAAUGAAUCAGAGGGAUAUGAGAGGACCUAAGGAUUCAGCUCAACUUUUCCCACUGUGCCCAUUCACAGCUGCAUUCAGUGGCACUAAGUCACAAGACAGAUAUCCAGCAGCACUUCUACAUCUGCCCCUGCCCCAGGAUUCUGUGGUCAGUGCCCCCAAACAAGGCACAUCCUUCACAGAAGUACAAGCAAGUCAGUGCAGGAAUGAGGACACAGGUAAAG
RNAcentral lists this long non-coding RNA (1009 nucleotides) under Junco hyemalis (dark-eyed junco). Its description in RNAcentral is "lncRNA (ENSJHYG00000012890.1)". Lineage: Eukaryota; Metazoa; Chordata; Aves; Passeriformes; Passerellidae. The record is from RNAcentral.